UGCAAGUCGAGGGGUAGAGGCCUUCGGGCCUUGAGACCGGCGCACGGGUGCGUAACGCGUAUGCAAUCUGCCUUCCACAGAGGGAUAGCCCAGAGAAAUUUGGAUUAAUACCUCAUAGCAUCAUGACCCGGCAUCGGGAUAUGAUUAAAGUCACAACGGUGGAAGAUGAGCAUGCGUCCCAUUAGCUAGUUGGUAAGGUAACGGCUUACCAAGGCUACGAUGGGUAGGGGUCCUGAGAGGGAGAUCCCCCACACUGGUACUGAGACACGGACCAGACUCCUACGGGAGGCAGCAGUGAGGAAUAUUGGUCAAUGGGCGCAAGCCUGAACCAGCCAUGCCGCGUGCAGGAUGACGGUCCUAUGGAUUGUAAACUGCUUUUGUACGGGAAGAAACCCUCCUACGUGUAGGAGCUUGACGGUACCGUAAGAAUAAGGAUCGGCUAACUCCGUGCCAGCAGCCGCGGUAAUACGGAGGAUCCAAGCGUUAUCCGGAAUCAUUGGGUUUAAAGGGUCUGUAGGCGGUCUUGUAAGUCAGUGGUGAAAGCCCAUCGCUCAACGGUGGAACGGCCAUUGAUACUGCUGGACUUGAAUUAUUGGGAAGCAACUAGAAUAUGUAGUGUAGCGGUGAAAUGCUUAGAGAUUACAUGGAAUACCAAUUGCGAAGGCAGGUUGCUACCAAUGGAUUGACGCUGAUGGACGAAAGCGUGGGUAGCGAACAGGAUUAGAUACCCUGGUAGUCCACGCCGUAAACGAUGGAUACUAGCUGUUGGGCGCAAGUUCAGUGGCUAAGCGAAAGUGAUAAGUAUCCCACCUGGGGAGUACGAACGCAAGUUUGAAACUCAAAGGAAUUGACGGGGGCCCGCACAAGCGGUGGAGCAUGUGGUUUAAUUCGAUGAUACGCGAGGAACCUUACCAAGGCUUAAAUGCAGACUGACCGGUUUGGAAACAGACCUUUCGCAAGACGGUCUACAAGGUGCUGCAUGGUUGUCGUCAGCUCGUGCCGUGAGGUGUCAGGUUAAGUCCUAUAACGAGCGCAACCCCUGUUGUUAGUUGCCAGCGAGUCUUGUCGGGAACUCUAGCAGAAUGCCAGUGCAACU
Molecule: ribosomal RNA, 1096 nt
Filed under: Flavobacterium sp.
Lineage: Bacteria; Pseudomonadati; Bacteroidota; Flavobacteriia; Flavobacteriales; Flavobacteriaceae
Description: bacterial SSU rRNA
Rfam family: Bacterial small subunit ribosomal RNA
Source: RNAcentral